GACGAACGCUGGCGGCGUGCCUAAUACAUGCAAGUCGAACGCAGUGGGGACGGGUGAGUAACAAGUGGGUAACCUCCCAUCAGAGGGGAUAACACUUGGAAAAAGGUGCUAACCCGAAACUUAUGGAUGAACCCGCGGUUCAUUAGCUAGUUGGAGAGGUAACGGCGCACCAAGGCCACGAUGCAUAGCCGACCUGAGAGGGUGAUCGGCCACACUGGAACUGAGACACGGCCCAGACUCCUACGGGAGGCAGCAGUAGGGAAUCUUCGGCAAUGGACGAAAGGCUGAUGGAGCCACGCCGCGUGAGUGAAGAAGGCUUUCGGAUCGUAAAACUCUGUUGUCAGAGAAGCGGUAUCUAACCAGAAAGCAACGGCUAACUACGUGCCAGCAGCCGCGGUAAUAC
Molecule: ribosomal RNA, 403 nt
Filed under: uncultured bacterium
Lineage: Bacteria
Description: partial 16S ribosomal RNA
Rfam family: Bacterial small subunit ribosomal RNA
Source: RNAcentral